RNAcentral lists this ribosomal RNA (315 nucleotides) under uncultured eukaryote. RNAcentral describes it as "partial 18S ribosomal RNA". It matches the Rfam family "Eukaryotic small subunit ribosomal RNA", at positions 1470 to 1796 of the family's 1831-position model. The record is from RNAcentral.
CCCUUAGACGUUCUGGGCCGCACGCGCGCUACACUGACCAGUGCAACAAGCAUCCGUCCUUGGCCGACAGGCCCGGGCAAUCUUUGAACGCUGGUCGUGAUGGGGAUAGACUUUUGCAAUUUUUGGUCUUCAACGAGGAAUUCCUAGUAAACGCAAGUCAUCAACUUGCAUUGAUUACGUCCCUGCCCUUUGUACACACCGCCCGUCGCACCUACCGAUUGAAUGGUCCGGUGAAGCCUCCGGAUUGGCGCGCACCUCGGUGCCGCCGAGAAGUUGGCUAAACCUUACCAUUUAGAGGAAGGUGAGNUCGUAACA